GAACCAGGAUUUGCUUGGAAAUCUUCAACAAUUUCGUGUGUGCCCUGUCCACCGGGAACAUAUCUUGAUUAUACUGUAAGCAGAUGUCUUGACUGUCCUAUUGGAACCUACAAAGAAACAGAAGAAGGUGCAACAUGUACAAAGUGCCCAGUGGGAAAGUCAACAGAAUCAGAGGGCAGUUUGUCAAAAGCUGAUUGUAUAGAUACCUGUAGACCUGGUACAUUUUCUAAAACGGGCCUCAAACCAUGUCUCAGAUGCCCGUAUAACCACUACCAAGAUCAAGAAGGAGCAACAUUCUGUAAUCGAUGCCCGGAAGGCAAAGUAACA
Molecule: long non-coding RNA, 327 nt
Organism: Saccostrea echinata
Lineage: Eukaryota; Metazoa; Mollusca; Bivalvia; Ostreida; Ostreidae
Exons: 3
Source: RefSeq, a predicted model, not a curated record